GAUGAACGCUGGCGGCGUGCCUAAUACAUGCAAGUCGAGCGAACGGACGAGAAGCUUGCUUCUCUGAUGUUAGCGGCGGACGGGUGAGUAACACGUGGAUAACCUACCUAUAAGACUGGGAUAACUUCGGGAAACCGGAGCUAAUACCGGAUAAUAUUUUGAACCGCAUGGUUCAAAAGUGAAAGACGGUCUUGCUGUCACUUAUAGAUGGAUCCGCGCUGCAUUAGCUAGUUGGUAAGGUAACGGCUUACCAAGGCAACGGUGCAUAGCCGACCUGAGAGGGAUAGCCGCCACUGGAACUGAGACACGGUCCAGACUCCUACGGGAGGCAGCAGUAGGGAAUCUUCCGCAAUGGGCGAAAGCCUGACGGAGCAACGCCGCGUGAGUGAUGAAGGUCUUCGGAUCGUAAAACUCUGUUAUUAGGGAAGAACAUAUGUGUAAGUAACUGUGCACAUCUUGACGGUACCUAAUCAGAAAGCCACGGCUAGCUACGUG
This 495-nucleotide ribosomal RNA is filed under the name uncultured bacterium. Its description in RNAcentral is "partial 16S ribosomal RNA". It matches the Rfam family "Bacterial small subunit ribosomal RNA", at positions 28 to 507 of the family's 1533-position model. The record is from RNAcentral.